This 499-nucleotide ribosomal RNA is filed under the name uncultured bacterium. Its description in RNAcentral is "partial 16S ribosomal RNA". It matches the Rfam family "Bacterial small subunit ribosomal RNA", at positions 30 to 523 of the family's 1533-position model. The record is from RNAcentral.
AUUGAACGCUGGCGGCAUGCCUUACACAUGCAAGUCGAACGGCAGCACGGGAGCAAUCCUGGUGGCGAGUGGCGAACGGGUGAGUAAAGUAUCGGAACGUGCCCAGUCGUGGGGGAUAACGUAGCGAAAGUUACGCUAAUACCGCAUACGAUCUAUGGAUGAAAGCGGGGGAUCGCAAGACCUCGCGCGAUUGGAGCGGCCGAUAUCAGAUUAGGUAGUUGGUGGGGUAAAGGCUCACCAAGCCGACGAUCUGUAGCUGGUCUGAGAGGACGACCAGCCACACUGGGACUGAGACGCGGCCAGACUCCUACGGGAGGCAGCAGUGGGGAAUUUUGGACAAUGGGCGAAAGCCUGAUCCAGCAAUGCCGCGUGCAGGAAGAAGGCCUUCGGGUUGUAAACUGCUUUUGUACGGAGCGAAAAGGUUCUCUCUAAUACAGAGGGCUCAUGACGGUACCGUAAGAAUAAGCACCGGCUAACUACGUGCCAGCAGCCGCAGUAA